UACAGAGGGUGCGAGCGUUGUCCGGAAUCACUGGGCGUAAAGGGCGCGUAGGCGGCUUGAUAAGCGUGCGGUGAAAGCCCGGGGCUCAACCCCGGGUCGGCCGUGCGAACUGUCGAGCUGGAGCACUGUAGAGGCAGGUGGAAUUCCGGGUGUAGUGGUGGAAUGCGUAGAGAUCCGGAGGAACACCAGCGGCGAAGGCGGCAUCCUGGACUGGUCCUGACACUCAUGAGCGAAAGCGUGGGGAGCGAUCCGG
RNAcentral lists this ribosomal RNA (253 nucleotides) under uncultured bacterium. Its description in RNAcentral is "partial 16S ribosomal RNA". It matches the Rfam family "Bacterial small subunit ribosomal RNA", at positions 524 to 776 of the family's 1533-position model. The record is from RNAcentral.